UUUGCCAUGUAAUCUCCCUUGA
This 22-nucleotide unclassified non-coding RNA is filed under the name Mus musculus (house mouse). Its description in RNAcentral is "oocyte_clustered_small_RNA11609". Lineage: Eukaryota; Metazoa; Chordata; Mammalia; Rodentia; Muridae. The record is from RNAcentral.